UGUAGGAGUGAGCCUGCUCGCGAUGGCGAUCUGUCAGUCACCGGUUUUUUGACUGGAAGACCGCCAUCGCGAGCAGGCUCACUCCUACA
RNAcentral lists this unclassified non-coding RNA (89 nucleotides) under Pseudomonas prosekii. Lineage: Bacteria; Pseudomonadati; Pseudomonadota; Gammaproteobacteria; Pseudomonadales; Pseudomonadaceae. The record is from RNAcentral.